ACGACCUUACUUGAACAGGAUCUGUUCUAUAGGAUCGUACCUCUGUAUCCUUGAGUUCUUAGGAGACAGGAACCUCAGUCUGGUCGAUGAAUCAUGACCGUGCGGUCAUAGCGUGAUUAAUGGCUCCUGAUCAUGUAGAUCGUGUAGUUGUAGAUGAUCGUUCUUAGCGCGUCAUUUGACGGCUGAGAUGGUCGUGCGGUUGUCUGACAGACU
Molecule: small nucleolar RNA, 213 nt
Filed under: Macleaya cordata
Lineage: Eukaryota; Viridiplantae; Streptophyta; Magnoliopsida; Ranunculales; Papaveraceae
Description: Plant small nucleolar RNA U3
Rfam family: Plant small nucleolar RNA U3
About the family: Small nucleolar RNAs (snoRNAs) are involved in the processing and modification of rRNA in the nucleolus.
Source: Rfam by way of RNAcentral